CCAACCGUGAACACAAGGGAGAGGGGGCUGUGAGGGAGCUGGGGACUUUGCAUCCUUCCUGAGACUGUUUUUUUCUGUUUCCAUAUUUCACUGCUGUGUACCCCAAAGCUAAGGACAGGCAACAUCUCGUUAUCAUUAAUCUGGCCACAGGGGAUUGGAAAUUCUUGACUGAAGGAUGCUGUACCCCAGAAAGGUUUAUUUGUUCCUCCCUGAGGUUUGUGUGUACAGAUUUUUCUGAUGUGAUCUGGCAAGAGGUACCCACGGAGGAGGAGGGACUGUAACACCGCUUUCACGACUGUCCUUUGCUCUAGAACAAGUCAAUUCCUCUGUGCCUCGGUUUCUCUCUCAAGUGGCGAAACUGCUCAAACCCUUUCUACUUUAUGGGUUCAUCAUGAGAGCCAUACACAGUAAUGUUUGGAAACAUCCUGGGAGAUGCAACAUCUCGUAUAAACGGAAGGCAUCAUGCUUCAUCGCCUCGCCUCCUCAGCUCUAGGGGUUUCUGACAACCGUUGCCCUCUUUAGGGUGCUGGUCCUCAACUGGAACCUUGGGAAGCUUCGACAACGACGCUGUUGCCUGCACUCUACACCAGGUUUUCUGAUUUAAUUGAAGGGGUGCGGUUGGCUUCCAAGCUCCCAAGGCUGGCAGUAAAUCUCAGACAUGGAGCUUGGCUCCUCACAGGUUACCAGUGGACUAGAAGCCUGGUAGCAUCCGUCAGAACUACACAGAGAGGGUCCCGGGGGUCAACGGACCCAGAAGUUGGGAGAUUUACUGACCGUCUGCAUCGAAGUGCUUCCAGAUUUCCAGGAACUGGGAUGCUG
This is a long non-coding RNA of Mesocricetus auratus (golden hamster), 819 nucleotides long. RefSeq lists it as uncharacterized. NCBI's taxonomy places the organism in Eukaryota, Metazoa, Chordata, Mammalia, Rodentia, Cricetidae. The record is from RefSeq and is a predicted model, not a curated record. The transcript is spliced from 3 exons.